RNAcentral lists this long non-coding RNA (1420 nucleotides) under Sinocyclocheilus anshuiensis. RNAcentral describes it as "lncRNA (ENSSANG00000037259.1)". The record is from RNAcentral. Lineage: Eukaryota; Metazoa; Chordata; Actinopteri; Cypriniformes; Cyprinidae.
ACUUUAGAAAGUUUGACCCUCGGAUGACCUCUGACCUCCUCUGCCAACACAAGCACAAAAAGCAGGAUAUCUAUCUGAAUGAGGACUUCCAGACCAGCUUCACAACGAAACUGGAAAUCCAGCUACAGAAUACCAAAUAUUCCCAUAGGAAUGCUUCCUCCAGCCAACAUUCCUCCAGUUGCCCAACAUAAGUCCGACAAAUUGUGAGAAGAAGAAGAAAGAAAAAAGAAAAAAAGUUGCUGCAUAAUGUGACCAACCCCAUAGGCAAUAAUGAAAGGGCAAUGCCAGCUUGUUUGGGAAUGAACGGUGACCGGAUUUGCUUUUUGAAAUAACCAGCGAAAGAGUUUCUGUGUACUUGGUUUUAGGGAGUUAGCCUUCAAAGGUUUUAGGGGACAGUGUCACAAAACUUAGAUUCCUGAGAGUUGAGUCAGUGCUAUUGGCGGUUCCCUAUAUCGUCAUUGCUAAUAUUGAUCCUAGAGGUCGGCCUUUGACCUCUCCCACCAUUCGCUUUUCCAUAUCCAGUGUUAUCUGAGAACAUCUGCAGCUAAGGUUCACAAGGGUCAGAGUACACAGAAUGUAAACACUGCACAGCGCCAUUAACACAUCACUGUACUCAGCACACAUUCAUGUGAGGUACACUUCUGUUUCUGUUAAAUGGAGUGUGAAUGUUCAUCGUUGUGCUAAUUUCCUGCUGUCAAAACAAAGAAGAUUAAACAUUUGCAAAAAAUAAAUAAUUAAAAAAAUACAUGCGCCACUAUACUUCCAGUCUUCUGCAAAAUAUGAUCAAGCCUGUUUAGUGCCUUCAUGAAAUAUUCAAAUACAAUUUUUUGGAAUAUGUAAAAAUAAAACAAAGUACCAGGGUCCUUUUGCAUAACACACAAGCUUGGUCACUUCCCAUCCAAGUUAACUAAUAUUAAUGUGCAAAGAUUUCCACCUGUAAUCAGUGUCAAUAGAGUGCUGCAGUGAUGCUUUGUUUUUUGUAGGACAAGCCGGAAGUUAACAUAACCCUGGUUCCAUCUUAAAAAAAAAAAAAAAAAAAAAAAAAAAAAAAGGAUUUUUCCAUUAGCUUUUGGAUUAUUUCCGAAAAUAAGCUCUGUGAGUAACAAAAGUUUGAUUCUCACGUUUUGUUUAUUAUGAUAAUCUUCACAAAUGAACACAACUUUUAUGACUUUUGAAGUCUAGAUACAAUCAGCCCAAGUAAAAAGCUAAAUGUAGGCUAUAAACAAACUACACCACAGUCACAUGAUUUCAACGUCACCAGCAUUAAAGGGUUAGUUCACCCAAAAAUGAAAUUAGUCCAUAAAUUACUAACGGUUCAAGGCAUCCUAGGUGUAUAUGACUUUCUUCUUUCAGAUGAAUCCAGUCGGAGUUAUAUUAAAAAUUGUCUUUGAUCUUUCAAGCUGUUUAAUAGCAGUCAGCG